Molecule: ribosomal RNA, 272 nt
Filed under: uncultured prokaryote
Description: partial 16S ribosomal RNA
Rfam family: Bacterial small subunit ribosomal RNA
Source: RNAcentral
UACGUAGGGUGCGAGCGUUGUCCGGAAUUACUGGGCGUAAAGAGCUCGUAGGUGGUUUGUCACGUCGUCUGUGAAAUUCCGGGGCUUAACCUCGGGCGUGCAGGCGAUACGGGCAAUACUUGAGUGCUGUAGGGGAGACUGGAAUUCCUGGUGUAGCGGUGAAAUGCGCAGAUAUCAGGAGGAACACCGGUGGCGAAGGCGGGUCUCUGGGCCUUACCUGACGCUGAGGAGCGAAAGCAUGGGUAGCGAACAGGAUUAGAUACCCGGGUAGU